Molecule: small RNA, 473 nt
Filed under: Arabidopsis thaliana (thale cress)
Lineage: Eukaryota; Viridiplantae; Streptophyta; Magnoliopsida; Brassicales; Brassicaceae
Description: ATSL051680
Source: RNAcentral
UGGCUAAUCAGAACGGUAGCGCAAUGGAAGAAGACGAAGGAGAUGAAGAGCAAGAUGAUCCACCGCAUAAGAAGCUUAAGCAGCUAGAUUGUCUUACUUCAGUCGCUGUUAAGGAAGAGGAGGAGCCAGAGCAAGUGCUUCCAUCGGAAGCUAUGGUUGUGGAGGAAGCGGCGACUCUGGUUGCGAGUGCGGCUAAGAAAUCUAAAUCGAAGAAGAAGAACAAUAAUGUAUGGGUGACUAAGAGCACACGUAAGGGAAAGAAGAAGAGUAAAGCCAACACGCCGAAUCCAGCAGCUGUAGAAGAUAAGGUAUUGAUAACUCCGGUGCCUAGAUUUCCCGAUAAGGGAGACGAUACACCUGACUUGGAAAUUUGCCUUUCUAAAGUAUACAAAGCUGAGAAAGUUGAGAUAAGUGAAGAUAGACUUACUGCAGGAAGUAGUAAAGGGUAUAGGAUGGUGAGAGCUACAAGAGGA